GUCAGGAUGGCCGAGUGGUCUAAGGCGCCAGACUCAAGCUCUGCUUCCUCGGAUAGAGGGUUCUGGUCUCCGAAUGGAGGCGUGGGUUCGAAUCCCACUUCUGACA
RNAcentral lists this transfer RNA (106 nucleotides) under Equus caballus (horse). It matches the Rfam family "tRNA". From Rfam's summary of the family: Transfer RNA (tRNA) molecules are approximately 80 nucleotides in length. Their secondary structure includes four short double-helical elements and three loops (D, anti-codon, and T loops). Lineage: Eukaryota; Metazoa; Chordata; Mammalia; Perissodactyla; Equidae. The record is from Rfam by way of RNAcentral.